This 297-nucleotide long non-coding RNA is filed under the name Elaeis guineensis (African oil palm). RNAcentral describes it as "long non-coding RNA (EGUI_LNC075048)". Lineage: Eukaryota; Viridiplantae; Streptophyta; Magnoliopsida; Arecales; Arecaceae. The record is from RNAcentral.
AAUCUUGAAGAAGGGCCUCAAUCAAAAGAUAGAAGGAGCUUUUAAAAAUUAGGAUAAAAAACUAAAUAUCUGUAAUGAUAUUUUUUUUAGUUCUUUGACUUUUGUAAUUAAAUCAAAAAUUUAUAAUUCAACAGAUGUUAUCCCUUCAAUAUACUCUUUAUUUUUUUCAGUUUGUGCAGUUUUUUAAAAAUAAAAUGAUGUUAUGUUCUGUGCCUAAAUGCCAUAAAUUUCUGAAUGGAUGUCAUAAUGUUAUACAGGAAUAUCAUAAUAUCAUAAAUUUUUGAAUAGAUGAUACGA